UGCGUCGCGGCGCGGCAGUGCGCGAGGUGCUCGAAGCGCAUCUCGAGGCCGCGGACGGCCGCUUUCGCGGGGUCCGUCAUCUCGUCACGUGG
RNAcentral lists this transfer RNA (92 nucleotides) under Paraburkholderia phenoliruptrix. RNAcentral's name for it is "tRNA-Phe". The record is from RNAcentral. Lineage: Bacteria; Pseudomonadati; Pseudomonadota; Betaproteobacteria; Burkholderiales; Burkholderiaceae.